This 1772-nucleotide long non-coding RNA is filed under the name Helianthus annuus (common sunflower). RNAcentral describes it as "hypothetical non coding rna". Lineage: Eukaryota; Viridiplantae; Streptophyta; Magnoliopsida; Asterales; Asteraceae. The record is from RNAcentral.
GUUUUAGUGGGUGUAUGUCACGAGCAGAGGGCAAGGGAAAAGGGAAAAACCCUUCUCCUUCAAUUGAACUCAAGAUUCAGCAAAUUGGUGAUGGUUUUAAACACAAAUCGAAUGCAUGAGCUUAGUUACUCCAUAACCUAAGUGGUUUGAACAUAAGUUGAAAUUGAUGAUCUAUGUUAAGGAUUGGGAAGAGGAUCAUAUCAAGAUGGAUGGAAGCAUGAAGGGCUAACGGGUCAAGAGGACAUGGGGAAGCGAACGCAAAUACGGAUGCGUAAGGUAAGUAAUUUCCCGGACUCCCUCUUUAGUAGUAAAGAAAUUAGUUGCAUAAUAAAUGUUAGAAGUUGUGUUGAAACGUGAAUUUGAUGAUGAUAUCAAGUAUUAGUAUUAAGUGAGUGAUUUUCCGGAAUCACUUCUUAGUUUAUUAAAGUAAGGUUAUGUGCUAGUUAUUUAAGUAUGGUAUUGGAGUUUAGGAAGGUUUGAGUAUGUAGAAGUGAAGGUUUCCGCUAAGCCGACCAAACGGGUCAAAAUGAGAGUUACCCAUUACGGUAUGAUUUGCAUAAGUUAUGACGAAGGUAUUAUAACCGGGUCAUGGAAAUAAUUUCUUACAAGUGCGAUAACCGAGAAACGGGGACAUGGGUUAAUGGUCAAAAGGCUUAGUCUUGAGUUUAAACAAAAGAGUUGUUUGAUAAAAACAUGAACGGGUCGAAUAAUUUGUAAAUGAAUAUUAAGCCAAAAGCAUAUAAGUUAAGAACUUCCUUAGUUUGGAUGUUAGAUUUUGAGUCCAUUUGAUAGAGGACCAAAAUAUGGUCAUGUAGGAAGAAACGAGAGGUUAAACGGGUGAACGGUUUGAAAGUUACGGCCGUUUUCGUAAAAAGGACAAAGUUGGAAAAGCUGCAGAGCAGCCAAAUCGUAAGCUACGGCUCAACUGUAGGCUACAGAACCUUACGACAUGCAGCUUUUGCAAAAUGUUGAUUGUUUUGUUAUUUUGGCCUUCGGGCAUAAAUAGAUAUGUUAUAAACUCCUCAUAACUAACGUUUUUGGAUUAUAAAUGUGUCUGGGAACGAGUAAGUAUGUAUGUUAAUAUGUAUAACACCUAUUUUAUGAGAGUUGUGAAUAUUACACGUUAGUAUAAGUUUAUGUGUAUAAAAGAAAUAAACAAGUACUCGUAUGCAUGUAUGCGUGUAUGAAUGAAACAUGUAUAUAGGUGUAUAUUAUUGCGUAAACGUAGGUAUGAAGGUAAGUAUGUAUGAAUGCAAGAUGCUAUGAAUGUAAGAUGCUAUGUAUGUAUGUAUGUAUGUAUGUAGGAAUGGUUUCAAGAUGUCUGGGUAUUGACGAUUACUAAUGAUGUGCUUUGAGUUUGGAAUGAAAUGCAGAUAUGAAAUCGUCGGGUUCAUGAGGAAUUGAAGCCGGACUUGGAUUAAGAGUAUUUAAGAGAAUGCUUGGAUAAUUCCAUGCUUACAUUAUGGAAUGCUAUGCGAAUUUCAAUUAUAUAGUAUAAUGUUGUAUGGUGAGAUAAUGACUAAUGGUUAAGUCGUAUAUGAUGUCCACAGGUAUCACACGGAUUUCCUCUACCACUAACGAAGAUAAACGGGCGUAGAUCGAGUUAAAGAACAAGGAUUGUACGGAUAGGACGACCACCUAGCUUGAAUUAUGUAACGCGCCUUGAAGUAUUAAUUUAAGUAUGAACGUUGUUAAUUCUUUCUAGUAAAAGUUUGACAUUUUUGUAACUAAGCCUUUUCGUAAGUAAUGUCGUUAACAAAGAAAGGAAUUUU